AUGCACAGCAGCACAAGUGUGCACACAACCGGAUGGUUUAAAUGGGGAUUAAUGAAGAUGAAAGUAGCAGUCCUGCCCUCUUCAGUUGCUGGUGUCAGAAGAUGGUGAGGAUGCUUACCAUGGGUAGGGCCACUGAUCGGAUCUCUGCAGGCUCUUCUAAUUGUUGGAGGAUGGGCAGGCAGGUGAGCUGCUGAGGUGAGUGUUUAACAAGGAUUUCCUGAAAUCAUGGACCAGCUUGACGGUGACAUGUGAUUGCAUCUUGCAGAUGGUUUGUUCUUCCGCCACAUGAGAGUCACAGGAAUUUGAGAAAAAGAGGACAUCAGUGCUUAGAGAAUGCAGGCCUGCACAAAGGUCAUCAAGGAGACGGACCACCACUCUAGUGAAGACGACAAUCUGGGUGGUGAAGCUUGUCCUUAAAUACUGACAGAAGACCGGGACUUCAGGAGCUCAAAUGAAUCCAGCCCAUCCUUGAUUCAGAGAAGUGUUAGGGCACAGGAGAGGACCAGUGCAGGAGCAUGAUAAUGGAAAUUUCUAAUAUUAAGGAAUUCUAAUUUAGAAACUAACUGCAAAAACACAAAUUAUAAAGUAAAGUCAGAGAAGUAACAUGCACAUACAUUACUAUGACUAGUUGCAAACUCAAGAGGAAGUAACUUGUAAAUCAUUGUGUCCUGCUUUGAGUUACAUUUACAACACCCCAACGUUUUAUAUUGUACAACAUCCAUAUCAUCCAUCCAGGGUGUCCAGUAUCUUUGCAGUUUACAUUUUUACAUAGUGCAUUCUGAUAAGACCAUGUGCUGCAUGAAAUAUAGAAAAUAUAAAAUUACAACAACACACAGGUGUAUGAAGCCUGUCCACCAGUGCUUUAAAAGAGAAAGGGAAAAUAGAGUGAACGUGGUGAUGUAAUUUUUAGAAAGGUAGAAAAUAAAUGCAGUCUGACGAAUGCCUGUGCAGACUUGCAUGACUAAACCAGAUAAGUGAGGUAUCCAGCCAACCGGGCCAACCUGAGCCACUGCUGCUUUGCAUAGAACGUCUCUGUCCAGCUGUCAUUGUACUAGUCUGCUGAAGGAAAUGCUGAUACAGGAUGACAUGUUAAACCGAACCGGAGUAUGGAGUCUGAGUCUCUCGGUCUUUUACUGGUGCGCAACAGCCAUAGCAAACAUGUCAGACCCAAUAAAGAAAUAACCCAGUUAUAUUUUCUUCCG
Molecule: long non-coding RNA, 1202 nt
Filed under: Oreochromis niloticus (Nile tilapia)
Lineage: Eukaryota; Metazoa; Chordata; Actinopteri; Cichliformes; Cichlidae
Description: lncRNA (ENSONIG00000035416.1)
Source: RNAcentral